GUCAGUCUCAGUCAGAUACUGCAGUUGUGAAGCAGCCAGGUAUGGGAAAGAAUGACCAAACAUGGAGAGGACUGAGUAGCUCAUUGAGUACCCCAUCCCUAAUUCUUCCCAUACUCAACAGCUGCUGACAUUACCAGUUUUUCAGCAUUCAUGUCUGGCCUUUUUAUGUAUGAGAGAAGCAAAUAGCACAGCCAUUUUGCUACUGCAGAUGUGUUGUGGAUUUGUGACAGUGUAGUUUUGGAAAACUUUCACAAGAGGGAGUAGAGAGCUAAUAUUUCUGCUGGUCGUUUCAACAGCUGGCAUACAGUACUGCAGUAGCAAUCUGCGGCAUGCUUUGUUGUAGAUAUCUGAUAAUUCCUCUAUCAGAAAAUAAUGUUUUGAAUGCAGCUAUAUGACAACGGAUCCUUCACCAUCUUGAUGUGCCUCUGAUUCCCUCUGGGGAGUGAUUUAAAAGAUACAGACUAAUACACAAGGAAUACAGAAACGAUUGUGUUUACCACAGGCAAAACCUGAAGGUCAGAUCCUCUUCCACAUGACCCUUCGUUCUGCUUUGGAAG
Molecule: long non-coding RNA, 557 nt
Organism: Coturnix japonica (Japanese quail)
Lineage: Eukaryota; Metazoa; Chordata; Aves; Galliformes; Phasianidae
Source: RefSeq, a predicted model, not a curated record